ACUUCUAUGGUGAAACUGGUAGACACAAAAAACUCAAAAUUUUUUGCCGAAAGGUGUGUUGGUUCAAAUCCGACUAGAAGUA
RNAcentral lists this transfer RNA (82 nucleotides) under Cyanophora paradoxa. RNAcentral's name for it is "tRNA-Leu". It matches the Rfam family "tRNA". Rfam says of the family: Transfer RNA (tRNA) molecules are approximately 80 nucleotides in length. Their secondary structure includes four short double-helical elements and three loops (D, anti-codon, and T loops). The record is from RNAcentral. Lineage: Eukaryota; Glaucocystophyceae; Cyanophorales; Cyanophoraceae.